GUGGGGAAUCUUAGACAAUGGGCGCAAGCCUGAUCUAGUCAUGCCGCGUGAGCGAUGAAGGCCUUAGGGUUGUAAAGCUCUUUCAGCUGGGAAGAUAAUGACGGUACCAGCAGAAGAAGCCCCGGCUAACUCCGUGCCAGCAGCCGCGGUAAUACGGAGGGGGCUAGCGUUGUUCGGAAUUACUGGGCGUAAAGCGCACGUAGGCGGAUCAGAAAGUCAGAGGUGAAAUCCCAGGGCUCAACCUUGGAACUGCCUUUGAAACUCCUGAUCUUGAGGUCGAGAGAGGUGAGUGGAAUUCCGAGUGUAGAGGUGAAAUUCGUAGAUAUUCGGAGGAACACCAGUGGCGAAGGCGGCUCACUGGCUCGAUACUGACGCUGAGGUGCGAAAGCGUGGGGAGCAAACAGGAUUAGAUACCCGGGUAGUCC
RNAcentral lists this ribosomal RNA (425 nucleotides) under uncultured bacterium. RNAcentral's name for it is "partial 16S ribosomal RNA". It matches the Rfam family "Bacterial small subunit ribosomal RNA", at positions 354 to 796 of the family's 1533-position model. The record is from RNAcentral.